AGAGUUUGAUCCUGGCUCAGGAUGAACGCUGGCGGUCUGCUUAACACAUGCAAGUCGAACGGAAUGCUUUCGGGCAUUUAGUGGCGGACGGGUGAGUAACGCGUGAGAAUCUGCCCUUGGGAGUGGGACAACGACUGGAAACGGUCGCUAACACCGCAUGAGCCGAGAGGUAAAAGUAUUAAUAGCCCAAGGAUGAGCUCGCGUCGGAUUAGCUAGUUGGGGGUGUAAUGGACUCCCAAGGCGACGAUCCGUAGCUGGUCUGAGAGGAUGACCAGCCACACUGGGACUGAGACACGGCCCAGACUCCUACGGGAGGCAGCAGUGGGGAAUUUUCCGCAAUGGGCGCAAGCCUGACGGAGCAAGACCGCGUGGGGGAGGAAGGUCUGUGGAUUGUAAACCCCUUUUGACUGGGAAGAACACAAUGACGGUACCAGUCGAAUCAGCCUCGGCUAACUCCGUGCCAGCAGCCGCGGUAAUACGGAGGAGGCAAGCGUUAUCCGGAUUUAUUGGGCGUAAAGCGUCCGCAGGUGGUUAAUCAAGUCUGCUGUCAAAGCGCGAAGCUUAACUUCGUAAGGGCAGUGGAAACUGAUGGACUUGAGGGUGAUAGGGGCAGAGGGAAUUCCUAGUGUAGCGGUGAAAUGCGUAGAGAUUAGGAAGAACACCGGUGGCGAAAGCGCUCUGCUGGGUCACACCUGACACUGAGGGACGAAAGCUAGGGGAGCGAAAGGGAUUAGAUACCCCUGUAGUCCUAGCCGUAAACGAUGGGUACUAGGCGUUGACCGUAUCGACCCGGUCAGUGCCGGAGCUAACGCGUUAAGUACCCCGCCUGGGGAGUACGCUCGCAAGAGUGAAACUCAAAGGAAUUGACGGG
Molecule: ribosomal RNA, 871 nt
Filed under: uncultured bacterium
Lineage: Bacteria
Description: bacterial SSU rRNA
Rfam family: Bacterial small subunit ribosomal RNA
Source: RNAcentral